CAUGCUUAUAAGUUAUUUCAAUUUAAAACCUUCUAAGUCAUGUCAAGUAUAAUUGGAUAAACUGCCCUUUACGAAAAUAUAAAAUGUUUCAGAAAAUGCAUGCCCACUAAGUACAUUAGUACUUAGCCCAAAAAUACUUUCAAAUGUUUUCAGGUUGGCUGGCCGAUGCUGACGGGACGGAGCUGAGGCUAGGGUUAAAUUCCUAUUUUAGACUUCCGCUGUAGCAAAUACUCAUAUACGUCUUUUGUUUUUCC
RNAcentral lists this long non-coding RNA (254 nucleotides) under Salvia miltiorrhiza (redroot sage). RNAcentral describes it as "long non-coding RNA (SMIL_LNC001889)". The record is from RNAcentral. Lineage: Eukaryota; Viridiplantae; Streptophyta; Magnoliopsida; Lamiales; Lamiaceae.